Molecule: ribosomal RNA, 447 nt
Filed under: uncultured bacterium
Lineage: Bacteria
Description: bacterial SSU rRNA
Rfam family: Bacterial small subunit ribosomal RNA
Source: RNAcentral
GAUGAACGCUGGCGGCGUGCUUAACACAUGCAAGUCGAACGAAGCACUUUGGACGGAUUCUUCGGAUGAAAUUCUUAGUGACUGAGUGGCGGACGGGUGAGUAACGCGUGGGUAACCUGCCUCAUACAGGGGGAUAACAGUUAGAAAUGGCUGCUAAUACCGCAUAAGCGCACGGUACUGCAUGGUACAGUGUGAAAAACUCCGGUGGUAUGAGAUGGACCCGCGUUGGAUUAGCUAGUUGGCAGGGUAACGGCCUACCAAGGCGACGAUCCAUAGCCGGCCUGAGAGGGUGGACGGCCACAUUGGGACUGAGACACGGCCCAGACUCCUACGGGAGGCAGCAGUGGGGAAUAUUGCACAAUGGGGGAAACCCUGAUGCAGCGACGCCGCGUGAGCGAAGAAGUAUUUCGGUAUGUAAAGCUCUAUCAGCAGGGAAGAAAAUGACGG